AACGAACGCUGGCGGCAGGCUUAACACAUGCGAGUCGAGCGCCCCGCCAGGGGAGCGGCAGACGGGUGAGUAACGCGUGGGAACGUACCUUUUGGUUCGGAACAACUCCGGGAAACUGGAGCUAAUACCGGAUAAGCCCUAACGGGGAAAGAUUUAUCGCCGAAAGAUCGGCCCGCGUCUGAUUAGCUAGUUGGUGAGGUAACGGCUCACCAAGGCGACGAUCAGUAGCUGGUCUGAGAGGAUGAUCAGCCACACUGGGACUGAGACACGGCCCAGACUCCUACGGGAGGCAGCAGUGGGGAAUAUUGGACAAUGGGCGCAAGCCUGAUCCAGCCAUGCCGCGUGAGUGAUGAAGGCCUUAGGGUUGUAAAGCUCUUUUGUCCGGGAAGAUAAUGACUGUACCGGAAGAAUAAGCCCCGGCUAACUUCGUG
This 431-nucleotide ribosomal RNA is filed under the name uncultured bacterium. RNAcentral describes it as "partial 16S ribosomal RNA". It matches the Rfam family "Bacterial small subunit ribosomal RNA", at positions 29 to 507 of the family's 1533-position model. The record is from RNAcentral.